RNAcentral lists this ribosomal RNA (467 nucleotides) under uncultured bacterium. RNAcentral's name for it is "partial 16S ribosomal RNA". It matches the Rfam family "Bacterial small subunit ribosomal RNA", at positions 28 to 506 of the family's 1533-position model. The record is from RNAcentral.
GACGAACGCUGGCGGCGUGCUUAACACAUGCAAGUCGAACGGAAAGGCCCUGCUUUUGUGGGGUGCUCGAGUGGCGAACGGGUGAGUAACACGUGAGUAACCUGCCCUUGACUUUGGGAUAACUUCAGGAAACUGGGGCUAAUACCGGAUAGGAGCUCCUGCUGCAUGGUGGGGGUUGGAAAGUUUCGGCGUUUGGGGAUGGACUCGCGGCUUAUCUGCUUGUUGGUGGGGUAGUGGCUUACCAAGGCUUUCACGGGUAGCGGGCCUGAGAGGGUGACCGGCACAAUGGGGCUUGGGAUACGCCCAGGGUACGACUGGGGGGAACAGGUGGGGACAAUCGCAAAACGGGCGGAAGCUUGAUGAAGAAACGCGGCGUGGGGAAGGCGGGCUUUGGGUUUGGAAACCGGUUUGCCUUGUAACGAAGGGGGAGUAACGUUAUUGGGUAAAGAACAACCGGCUACCUCCGU